RNAcentral lists this long non-coding RNA (1098 nucleotides) under Anser brachyrhynchus (Pink-footed goose). RNAcentral describes it as "lncRNA (ENSABRG00000005447.1)". Lineage: Eukaryota; Metazoa; Chordata; Aves; Anseriformes; Anatidae. The record is from RNAcentral.
GGGGUCCCCCCAGCUCCCCUCCGGUAAGUGCUUAAUGCCAGAAUUCCUGGAAACGGGGAGAAAUGUGGGGGUUCCCGGCAAAAAGGCAGCGCCGAGCGGGCGGCCGGGCGCCCUCGAAGGUUUUCCUGUUCCGGUGCUCGCUCGCGGUGCGAUUUGAGGGAAACGGCCCCGAUUUAGGGUCAGUCCCGGGGAGGUCGGACAAGCGUUGGGUGCUGCUGGAGGGGGCCUCGGGGCGCAGGACGGGUCCUGGGAUGCGUCGGGCCAGGGUGGGCGAGCCUUGGAAUGGUUUGGAAUGCGUUGGGUGAGCCUCGGGCCACCUUGUGGGAGCUUUGGGCCACCUGGCGUGAGCCUUGGGAUGGUUCAGGUUGUGUUGGGGGAGUGUUGGGCCACCUCGUGUGAGCCUUGGGGUGGUUCAGAAUGCGCUGGGUAACGGCUUGGGCUGUGCUCGAUGAGCCUUGGGAUUGUUUGGGCCACGUUGGAUGAGUCUUGGGCCACGUUGGAUGGGCCUUGGGCCACGUUGGAUGAGCCUCGAGGUGGUUUGGGCCACGUUGGCUGGGUCUUGGGCCACGUUGGAUGGGCCUUGAGGUGGUUUGGGCCACGUCGGAUGGGCCUUGGGCCAUGUUGGAUGAGCUUUGGGCCACGCUGGAUGAGCCUUGAGAUGGUUUGGGCCACGCUGGAUGAGCCUUGGGCCACCUCACGGGAGCUUUGGGCCAUCUCGUGUGAGCCUCGGUUGGUUUGGGGCUGCACUGGCCCAACUUGAGCCGUGUCGGACAAGCCUCGGGCCUCGCGGGACCACACAGGAUGAGGCCCAGGCCGCGUUGGACAAGCCUUGGGUUGUGCUGAACCACAGCGGGUGAGCGCGGGGCCGCACUGGACCACAUCGGGUGAGCCUUGGGCCACGUCAGGCCGCACUGGGUGAGCCUUGGACCACCCUGCAUCACGCUGGAGGAGCCUUGGAUGUGGUGGAGGAGCCUCGGGCUGUGCUGGACCACACUGGAUGAGCGUCGGGCCAUGGCAGAUGAACCCUGGGCUGUGCUGGACCACGUAGGAUGAGCGCUGAACCAUACCAGAUGAGUUCUGGGCCACGUAGGAUGAGCC